UACGUAGGGAGCAAGCGUUGUCCGGAAUCAUUGGGCGUAAAGCGCGCGUAGGUGGCCCCAUAAGUCCGCUGUGAAAGUCAAAGGCUCAACCUUUGAAAGCCGGUGGAUACUGUGGGGCUAGAGUCCGGAAGAGGCGAGUGGAAUUCCUGGUGUAGCGGUGGAAUGCGCAGAUAUCAGGAGGAACACCAAUAGCGAAGGCAGCUCGCUGGGACGGUACUGACGCUAAGGCGCGAAAGCGUGGGGAGCGAACAGG
Molecule: ribosomal RNA, 253 nt
Filed under: uncultured bacterium
Lineage: Bacteria
Description: partial 16S ribosomal RNA
Rfam family: Bacterial small subunit ribosomal RNA
Source: RNAcentral